AGGUCUCCAGGACGGGCAGCAGUGGAGAGCUAGUUGGGAAUGCUGAAGGCCAUUGUGGACCAGCAGGUACCUGCCUCACUCUGUACUUGGGCAUCUUCAUUGAGGGAGAGAGAACAGUGAUUGUGCAAAAUUCUGUUAGUCAGUGAUUCUUCAAUGCAAAUUCAGGGGCUUAGAAACAAGACAGCACACAAACCUGGACUGUGCUUUGGGAACCAAAUGGACUUCAUGGGACAAGCUAAGCAAGCUGUACAGACAUCACGUUUGUGAAGAGCUGAGGGCGUCAGGAGAGCCGGCGAAGUCGGCAUGCGAGUGGGGAAGAGGGUUAGCCAUAGUAUUCUUUGCAAAUGUGAAAGUCAGACAUUAUAUCUUCUCUUGCUUGGUGUAACUAAUCACUGUUAAUUUCAGGAAACAGAAGUCAGUAAAACUCCUUAGUAAACUCCUUGCUAAGUGAGGUUCAGGGUGUGGUCAAAUUGGUACUAGUGGAGGGAGGGAAAUUGUCCUCCAGCCUAAAAAGGGACAAAUUAUAAUAAUAUAAAUUGUUAAGAAUUGAAGAAUUCUGUUUCCUGGAAUGAGCAUUUCUUAUUCCUAGUUGUUGGGACUCUUUGCCUUCUGUUACAGUGUUGAUUCAUACAAAAUAUUGUUACAUUUAAGAUAACAUCAUCUGUAUGGGGUAUUUAUUUGCAAUGAUGUCUAAGUACUGUAUUUUUUCUGUGUGUUACCUUAGUGUCAGAAUGUUGGUCUUUAUUUUAAAAGUCAUAUGCAUGUUCUCCUGCCAAGGCACCUUACACAGACCCAAAACAAAACAAUGAGCAGAUGCCUUCAGCUUCUGAGAAAAUGAGGCCAAGUGAGGAGAAGGCAUAGGAAGGUGAGACUAGCUGAGACUUCUGUCAUGGCUGAUGGCGGACCGUCUCCACAGCCAGCACACAUAGGAAAACUGGGCCUGGGUGAAGAGUCGCAUUGGUAGGACCAAUAAAGAAUAAUAAAACAAUUG
This 991-nucleotide long non-coding RNA is filed under the name Mus musculus (house mouse). RNAcentral's name for it is "long non-coding RNA chr13:49386028-49387019". Lineage: Eukaryota; Metazoa; Chordata; Mammalia; Rodentia; Muridae. The record is from RNAcentral.